UACGUAGGGGGCAAGCGUUGUCCGGAUUUAUUGGGCGUAAAGCGCACGCAGGCGGUCUUUUACGUUUUGGGUGACAGGUGUCAGCUUAACUGAGACAGGCCUUGAAAUACGGGAAGACUUGAGGACGAGAGAGGGAUGCGGAAUUCCAGGUGGAGCGGUGAAAUGCGUAGAGAUCUGGAAGAACACCAAAGGCGAAGGCAGCAUCCUGGCUCGUAUCUGACGCUCAUGUGCGAAAGCUAGGGGAGCGAACGGG
This 253-nucleotide ribosomal RNA is filed under the name uncultured bacterium. RNAcentral describes it as "partial 16S ribosomal RNA". It matches the Rfam family "Bacterial small subunit ribosomal RNA", at positions 524 to 776 of the family's 1533-position model. The record is from RNAcentral.